Molecule: transfer RNA, 73 nt
Filed under: bacterium (Candidatus Torokbacteria) CG_4_10_14_0_2_um_filter_35_8
Lineage: Bacteria
Description: tRNA-Met
Rfam family: tRNA
About the family: Transfer RNA (tRNA) molecules are approximately 80 nucleotides in length. Their secondary structure includes four short double-helical elements and three loops (D, anti-codon, and T loops).
Source: RNAcentral
GGCGGGGUAGCUCAGCUGGUAGAGCACAGGACUCAUAAGCCUGACGUCGUGGGUUCGAUCCCCACCUCCGCUA